This is a long non-coding RNA of Brachypodium distachyon (stiff brome), 1274 nucleotides long. RefSeq lists it as uncharacterized. NCBI's taxonomy places the organism in Eukaryota, Viridiplantae, Streptophyta, Magnoliopsida, Poales, Poaceae. The transcript is spliced from 2 exons. The record is from RefSeq and is a predicted model, not a curated record.
AGUAGAGCGCUCGGAGGCCUGUUGACCAGAAGUUGCCACCUCGGAUCAUUGCAUGCUGCACGUAGCUUGCUGGGACGUCAGAGUCCAGUGUGCUUACCAGGAAGCUGGCUUGGACAUAGUACCUGAAUAGCACAGCAACCAGAGUGGAUGAAGCAAGUGAAGGACACCAGGAAGCAGACAAGGAGCGAGAUGUACUUCACCGCAGCUGUUGCCUGGCUGGUGUCGCCGUAGACAAGCUGCGUCAUGAACACCUUGGUCGUGCUGCUCACCCAUGCCCCGAUGAGCGAGCCCAGCGCGAUGGACAGCGAGGCCAGGUUUGUGGACGCUGAGAUGCUGCUGGAGAUUACGCUCAGCGCCAGCGCCGUCUCCUCUGGUGUCGUCUGCAGCAACAGCCAAACGCAGCACAGUCAAGUUCAUCAGUCAAAAAACUAACAUGUUACCGACAAACACAACCGAAUGAUGGACGAGUCAAACAGAAAAUUCCUCGGAAAGUUGAAGAAGAUCAACAGUGCUGUUACCUGGGUCAUGCGCCGAACCCAUGCCAGCUUGUUGUGGUUCUCAUAGCCGAUGACGGUGGUGCCCGGAUGCCGGAGAAUCCGGUAGAGGAGGAGGAGGUGGUAGCCGAACAUGAUCACCAACCCACACGGCACCAGCACCAGGUCCAGGGAGCCCUUCUCCCGCAGCAUCUCCUCUCUAACCUCCCUCUUCGGUCCCUCUUCUGUUCUUCCCUUAUCUCAUUUCUGUUUCCAUAUGUGAUAUGAUCGUGCCCUGUGCUUGUGUGUUUUAUUUGGAUUUUGUGUUUGUGUGUGCGCCAGUGGCCGGAGUUAUCAGCCGGUUGCUUCUGGGUUUUGUGUUGGAUUGUCGCUUUGGGUGCAAGAUACGAGGGAAGGGGAAGCAAAUUGUGUGAGCUUUGCUUCGAAGAAAGGCAGUGAGAUAAUGGCUUCACGGGUUAUUAUUGGAUAUCUCGAGCUCUUCCAACCGAACCAGCCGUGGUGUUUCCCUGAAUUCUCAACUUUCUUCAAGGCUCAAGUUUAAUUUGUAGUUUAGGAGUACUCCCUUCCCAUGUUUCAACUUUGAUUAAAUUUGAAUCUAUACACUAAGUCAUGUCUAGAUACAUCCAAAUUUUGACAAACUUGAGACAUUCUUUGUUGGACGGAGGGAGUAGUAGAUUUUAAGCAAAGGUUUAUAUCCGUUAAAGGUACGGAAUAAACAAGUCUGUUACGUAUGCCUUCUGUGUUCGUAUAUAUGCAGAGUAUGUGUUUGCUUGCACUCAA